GAUGAACGCUGGCGGCGUGCUUAACACAUGCAAGUCGAACGAAGCACUUAGACGGAAGUUUUCGGAUGGAAGAUUAAGUGACUGAGUGGUGGACGGGUGAGUAACGCGUGGGCAACCUGCCUCAUACAGGGGGAUAACAGUUAGAAAUAGCUGCUAAUACCGUAUAAGCUUACAGUACCGCAUGGUACAGUAAGAAAAACUCCGGUGGUAUGAGAUGGGCCCGCGUCUGAUUAGCUAGUUGGUAAGGUAACGGCUUACCAAGGCGACGACCCGUAGCCGACCUGAGAGGGUGACCGGCCACAUUUGGACUGUGACACGGCCCAGACCCCUACGGGAGGCAGCAGUGGAGAAUAUUGCGAAAUGGGGGAAACCCUGACGCAGCAACGCCGCGUGAUUGAUGAAGGCCUUCGGGUUGUAAAAAUCUUUAAUCAGGGACGAAGGAAUUGACGGUACCUGAAGAAUAAGCACCGGCUAACUACGUGCCAGCCGCCGCGGUAACAC
This 501-nucleotide ribosomal RNA is filed under the name uncultured bacterium. RNAcentral describes it as "bacterial SSU rRNA". It matches the Rfam family "Bacterial small subunit ribosomal RNA", at positions 28 to 526 of the family's 1533-position model. The record is from RNAcentral.